This 583-nucleotide ribosomal RNA is filed under the name Pichia fermentans. RNAcentral's name for it is "partial large subunit ribosomal RNA". It matches the Rfam family "Eukaryotic large subunit ribosomal RNA", at positions 45 to 658 of the family's 3401-position model. Lineage: Eukaryota; Fungi; Ascomycota; Pichiomycetes; Pichiales; Pichiaceae. The record is from RNAcentral.
CAAAAGCGGAGGAAAAGAAACCAACAGGGAUUGCCCCAGUAGCGGCGAGUGAAGCGGCAAAAGCUCAGAUUUGGAAUCGCUUCGGCGAGUUGUGAAUUGCAGGUUGGCGCCUCUGCGGCGGCGGCGGUCCAAGUCCCUUGGAACAGGGCGCCAUUGAGGGUGAGAGCCCCGUGGGACCGUUUGCCUAUGCUCUGAGGCCCUUCUGACGAGUCGAGUUGUUUGGGAAUGCAGCUCUAAGCGGGUGGUAAAUUCCAUCUAAGGCUAAAUACUGGCGAGAGACCGAUAGCGAACAAGUACUGUGAAGGAAAGAUGAAAAGCACUUUGAAAAGAGAGUGAAACAGCACGUGAAAUUGUUGAAAGGGAAGGGUAUUGCGCCCGACAUGGAGCGUGCGCACCGCUGCCCCUCGUGGGCGGCGCUCUGGGCGUGCUCUGGGCCAGCAUCGGUUUUUGCCGCGGGAGAAGGGCGGCGGGCAUGUAGCUCUUCGGAGUGUUAUAGCCUGCCGCCGGCGCCGCGAGCGGGGACCGAGGACUGCGACUUUUGUCUCGGAUGCUGGCACAACGGCGCAACACCGCCCGUCUGAAC